This is a long non-coding RNA of Notolabrus celidotus (New Zealand spotty), 3128 nucleotides long. RefSeq lists it as uncharacterized. The transcript is spliced from 4 exons. The record is from RefSeq and is a predicted model, not a curated record. NCBI's taxonomy places the organism in Eukaryota, Metazoa, Chordata, Actinopteri, Labriformes, Labridae.
CAGAUGUCAAUCAAUCAGUGCACACGUGGGGUCAAGGGCUCACUCAUCUCUCAAGCUCCACGUUGCCCACGCCUCACUGACACUGCACUUUUUGGCGGAAUAGGUGGCCCCUGCAAAAAAGGAAAAUGAAAUGCAACUACAACAAAAUGUGGGAAAAUAUUUGUCCUCCCAUGAAGCCGGCAUAGGGCGAUAUCCAAUAAGUUUUUGUUGACACUUGCCAGAGUUUGCGUCAAUCAUCAUGGAGACUGUGGAGAAUGUGACUCAAAGCGGCUCUAUACAUGUGGGACUCCCAAGAAACGCCAUAAAAGAGGAUUGCUAAACAGAUAAGCUCCAAUUCCUGCUAAAAUCUUAAGACUUGAAAUCACCAAUGAACAAAAACAGGAGCACAUCAAGACCUUGUUCUUUCACCUGCUGUUCAACCAUGCACUGCUGCAGGGGACUUGUUGUUCGACAGAUUUUGCCACCAGUUCCAGCUGUUGUGAACUGCAUUGAGUGCAUGUAGUCAUCUCAGCAUAGUACUCGGUGGUGCCACAGCUUCAGCAGCUUCAGAGGACCUGAGAAGAAAAUAUCAAACUGAAAACAAAGCCAAGGGCAGCAGGGACCCAAAUGAGGACUCCUGAAAAAGAAUGGGAUAACCUGAGAGAACAGCGCUCUAAGGAUCCCCGUGGAGCUUCCUUCAGAAGAAUCCUAAUAUCAAAUAUCAGUGCGAUGACCAAGUUCAGGGCCUGCUGCAGCUCGGUGCUGGAGCUCGGAUCAAUGGAACACUGUUGGGAAUACAACGGACCACACCCACAAACUGAUCAGAGCCUCUGAUUGGAUCUCAUGAGAAUGUCUUGACUUCUACCCAGGCUUUCAUGCAAAUUGAUGAAGGUAAUUUUAGCCCCCUUAAGUGAAAUUUGAUUCGCGUUAAGAGCUCUUGCUGCUUUUUCUUAAUGUAAAUCAGUUUUGAUUAAUAGUGUGGGAGUCCGGGGAGAAAUAUUAUCAAGUGCAGCAGUCUAAUGUAUCUCUCCAAUGGAGGAGUGGUGCUGCUGUUUGUCAUGUGAGUUUAAUACAGUUUGUUCAGACAAGGAAAGAAAGUUCUUCAGAAAACACUCCACCAAAAAAAAGGGCAUUUAUAUGUUGACGAUCCUCGACUAUCAAUCCCUGUCCUUAUUUGCUGAAACCCAUCUUACAGUAAUCACAAAAACCUUCCUUUGUGAGACCUGUAGUUCAACUAAUUUGUGCUUUGGAACGAGGGAAAUAAAGUGUAAUGACACACUGGAAAAAAACAAAAACAGACACUUACACUUUUAGAGAUUUCUUCAGUUCACUCUCCACCAAAAGAGUUUAUACACAGACCAUCUUCGAUUAAUGUUGCACUUAAAAACAGCGAAAACUCAAACACACUCACACACACUAUCAGAAGGAAACAGUUUUUAUAAGUCUACUCUCAAACAAAACAGAUAACUUUAUACAUCAAUAAUCCUUGAACUCAGUUUAUUAAACACCAUGAAACUGUCUUUAUUAUCUCAAUUGAAAUUUUUUAACAACUGCUUGUAUAGGUGAAGUUCUAUACAUACCAAAGCCAUUCCAAUCUCAGGCCUAUAGGUUAUUUAACACAUGCUUUGAACAGGGAGAAAUAUACCGGAGAGGUGCACUGAAAAAUAACAGUGAAAAUCAUGAACACACUCUGUCAUACACCAAAACUAAAAUUUUAUCAGCAAACAAGUCCUGCUAUACCAUUGUAUCCACCUACCCAGACUGUUGCCGUUACGUGCUCCCCUAAAUGUCUGCAACACUUCACCUCACCUCCUCAGAGCGGCACAGUGCUGCACCCUGGCUAAAUGAAAAACAAUCUAAGGAAGCAGGGAACAAUCCUCGGCAGGCUCCAGCGAGCUGCCAUAAAAAAGGAGUGGGCCGCCUCUCUCCAGCCUCUCCCCUCGUGCCUUCAACUUUAACUCUAUGGGCUGAUGAAAGAUCAAUGGGCCGACCGGGCCGGGCCGCUGCUGUGCCUGCUGUCCGCCACUGCACCAGGAAGCAAGCCAAUUACAAAAUAGGGGGAAGAAUGGAAAGAAAAUCAGUCUUUGUAAAUGCAAAGUGAGUGAUUGGAUGAGUAGUUUUAUGUACAUGUGUCUCUAAUCCAGCCUUCGGUGGCCAUUUUUAAAAAGUUUGGAUGUUCCCAGCCUAAGGCUCAUAUUCCAAACUCAUUUUAACCCUGAUUUCUCCCCCUACCUCACCCUCUUUAACACCCCUUUAACCCUCCUCUCACUCCCCCCUACCGCCUCCUGACUCCAGAUCUGUACCCGCUAACCAGACCUCUCCUCCGGAUCACCGGCAGCAGUAAAUGGGGGUUGGCGCUAGGGGGGUUUGGUGCAAACACGCAGCAGCAGCAGACAAACAAAUCAUGUUAAGUCUCUGCUGCCACGGCUGGCAGCGCACUCAAAGGGGCAGCCGGUGCCCUGCCAGGGAGGAGGGUGCACCCAUUUUCCCAGGGAGGGGGUGAGGGUGAACACGAGGGGAGGGGAAUGGGAGGCCUGGUCCUUAUCGAGCCCCGGAUCACAGACACCUCCGCCCCUCCUGGCAGGAAUGCACACAGCCCCUGUGGGAGGAGAGACGAAGAGAAGAAGAAGAAAGGAGGAGGAGGAGGAGGGGGUGGAGGAGGAGGAGGAGGAAACAAGCAGACAUCAAGAGGGGAAGUAAAAAGAGGAAGAAAAAAGAGUGAGUGAGGGGGAAAGUGAGUGACAGACGCAGAGAAAGAACUACCCCAGCUUAUAGGAGAGGGAGUGUCUCUGGACAUACACACACGCACAAAAACACACCAAUCACAGCACUCAACACACUCUGUCUGGAUUGAGAGCACCACUGGGAGAGCACGUAGGAAAACAAACAGGGCAUUAGGCUGCUUAAAUACCAUACUAAACGUGCAACUGUGGUCAUCAUUACCUCGGCUCAGUCACACUUUGAAUGUGUGUGUGUGUCACAGAUGACAGCUGGGGGAGAUCAGACGGCCAAUCAUGUGUUCAGAGGUAUUUAAAAUGAUGUGUAAUGGUCAAAAGUCGUUGCACGUUUGGGAAACUUCAGUGUCUGAGUCAUUCAUAUAAACUAAGAGAGAAUAAAAAACAUGUCGUAAUAAAAGAUAUACCGAAAGA